GACGAACGCUGGCGGCGUGCUUAACACAUGCAAGUCGAACGGAAAGGCCCUGCUUUUGUGGGGUGCUCGAGUGGCGAACGGGUGAGUAACACGUGAGUAACCUGCCCUUGACUUUGGGAUAACUUCAGGAAACUGGGGCUAAUACCGGAUAGGAGCUCCUGCUGCAUGGUGGGGGUUGGAAAGUUUCGGCGGUUGGGGAUGGACUCGCGGCUUAUCAGCUUGUUGGUGAGGUAGUGGCUUACCAAGGCUUUGACGGGUAGCCGGCCUGAGAGGGUGACCGGCCACAUUGGGACUGAGAUACGGCCCAGACUCCUACGGGAGGCAGCAGUGGGGAAUAUUGCACAAGGGGCGGAAGCCUGAUGCAGCAACGCCGCGUGCGGGAUGACGGCCUUCGGGUUGUAAACCGCUUUCGCCUGUGACGAAGCGUGAGUGACGGUAAUGGGUAAAGAAGCACCGGCUAACUACGU
RNAcentral lists this ribosomal RNA (467 nucleotides) under uncultured bacterium. RNAcentral describes it as "partial 16S ribosomal RNA". It matches the Rfam family "Bacterial small subunit ribosomal RNA", at positions 28 to 506 of the family's 1533-position model. The record is from RNAcentral.